RNAcentral lists this ribosomal RNA (253 nucleotides) under uncultured bacterium. RNAcentral's name for it is "partial 16S ribosomal RNA". It matches the Rfam family "Bacterial small subunit ribosomal RNA", at positions 524 to 776 of the family's 1533-position model. The record is from RNAcentral.
UACGGAGGGGGCGAGCGUUAUUCGGAAUUAUUGGGCGUAAAGGGCGCGUAGGCGGCCCGCUAAGUCAAAGGUGAAAUCCCUCGGCUCAACUGAGGAACUGCCUUUGAAACUGUCGGGCUUGAGGCCGGGAGGGGGUAGCGGAAUUCCCAGUGUAGCGGUGAAAUGCGUAGAUAUUGGGAGGAACACCAGUGGCGAAGGCGGCUACCUGGACCGGUUCUGACGCUGAUGCGCGAAAGCGUGGGUAGCAAACAGG